This 423-nucleotide ribosomal RNA is filed under the name uncultured bacterium. RNAcentral's name for it is "bacterial SSU rRNA". It matches the Rfam family "Bacterial small subunit ribosomal RNA", at positions 356 to 771 of the family's 1533-position model. The record is from RNAcentral.
GGGGAAUAUUGGACAAUGGGCGCAAGCCUGAUCCAGCCAUGCCGCGUGUGUGAGGAAGGCCUUCGGGUUGUAAAGCACUUUUGUAAGGGAAGAAAAGCACUCGGUUAAUACCCGGGUGUCAUGACGGUACCGUAAGAAUAAGCACCGGCUAACUUCGUGCCAGCAGCCGCGGUAAGACGAAGGGGGCUAGCGUUGUUCGGAAUUACUGGGCGUAAAGGGCGCGUAGGCGGUUUGUUAAGUCAGGCGUGAAAGCCCUGGGCUCAACCUGGGAUGUGCGCUUGAUACUGGCAAGCUUGAGUGCAGGAGAGGAUGGUGGAAUUCCCAGUGUAGAGGUGAAAUUCGUAGAUAUUGGGAAGAACACCGGUGGCGAAGGCGGCCAUCUGGACUGCAACUGACGCUGAGGCGCGAAAGCGUGGGGAGCAA